RNAcentral lists this ribosomal RNA (2005 nucleotides) under human gut metagenome. Its description in RNAcentral is "bacterial LSU rRNA". It matches the Rfam family "Bacterial large subunit ribosomal RNA", at positions 830 to 2820 of the family's 2925-position model. The record is from RNAcentral.
CAAUCGAACGUGGAGAUAGCUGGUUCUCCCCGAAAUAGCUUUAGGGCUAGCCUCAUGGCGAGAGUACAGGCGGUAGAGCACUGAACAGGGUAGGGGCCUAUCCGGCUACUGAACCUAAUCAAACUGCGAAUGGCUGUACUUAUCCAUGGGAGUCAGACUGUGAGUAAUAAGGCCCAUAGUCAAGAGGGAAACAGCCCAGACCAACAGCUAAGGUCCCCAAUGCCGUACUAAGUGGCGAAGGAUGUGGAAUUUCAAAAACAACCAGGAUGUUGGCUCAGAAGCAGCCACCAUUAAAAGAGUGCGUAAUAGCUCACUGGUCGAGAGACUCUGCGCCGAAGAUGUCCGGGGCUAAAGUACGGAACCGAAGCUUUGGCAAUUAACUUAUGUUAAUUGGGUAGGGGAGCGUUCCUGCAUGGGAGAAGCCUGACCGGAAGGACAGGUGGACAGGCAGGAAGAGAGAAUGCCGGUAUGAGUAGCGAAAAGAAGGGUGAGAAUCCCUUCCACCGAAAGCCUAAGGGUUCCUGGGCAACGAUCGUCGUCCCAGGGUAAGUCGGGACCUAAUCCGAGGCGGAGACGCGCAGGAGAUGGACAACAGGUUGAAAUUCCUGUACUGGCUGAUUUCGUUUGAGCAAGGGAGUGACACAGGAAGGAAGGCGCGCGUGCGAUUGGAAGAGCACGUCCAAGCAGGUAGGUGGGAAGAUAGGCAAAUCCGUCUUCCCAAAAGCUGAGAUGCGAUGGGGAGCGACUGGAAACAGUCGUGAAGGGGCUGGCACUAAACUGUCGAGAAAAGCUUCUAGUGAGAAAUCAGGCACCCGUACCGAAACCGACACAGGUAGGCAGGAUGAGAAUUCUAAGGUGCGCGGGAAAACCCUCGUUAAGGAACUCGGCAAAAUGUAUCCGUAACUUCGGGAAAAGGAUAACCCGGCGUACGUGAAGUGCAGAAGCGCACGGAGCGGAACCGGGUGGCAGAAGAGAGGCCCAAGCGACUGUUUACCACAAACACAGGCGUCUGCUAAAGCGAAAGCUGAUGUAUAGAUGCUGACACCUGCCCGGUGCUGGAAGGUUAAGAGGAAGUGUUAGCGCAAGCGAAGCAGUGAAUUGAAGCCCCAGUAAACGGCGGCCGUAACUAUAACGGUCCUAAGGUAGCGAAAUUCCUUGUCGGGUAAGUUCCGACCCGCACGAAAGGUGUAACGAUUUGGGCACUGUCUCAACGAGGGACCCGGUGAAAUUGAAAUACCUGUGAAGAUGCAGGUUACCCGCGACUGGACAGAAAGACCCCAUGGAGCUUUACUGUAACCUGAGAUUGGAUUCCGGUAAGAGAUGUACAGGAUAGUUGGGAGGCGGAGAAGCAAGUACGCCAGUAUUUGCCGAGCCGAUGGUGGGAUACCAACCUUGUUUUAUUGGAAUUCUAACGAGAAGUUUAACAGACUUGCGGACAGUCUCAGGCGGGCAGUUUGACUGGGGCGGUCGCCUCCGAAAGAGUAACGGAGGCGCCCAAAGGUUCCCUCAGCGCGGACGGAAACCGCGCGAAGAGUGCAAAGGCAGAAGGGAGCUUGACUGCGAGACGGACAGGUCGAGCAGGGACGAAAGUCGGGCUUAGUGAUCCGGUGGUAGAGAGUGGAAUUGCCAUCGCUCAACGGAUAAAAGCUACCCUGGGGAUAACAGGCUUAUCUCUCCCAAGAGUCCAUAUCGACGGGGAGGUUUGGCACCUCGAUGUCGGCUCAUCACAUCCUGGGGCUGAAGUAGGUCCCAAGGGUUGGGCUGUUCGCCCAUUAAAGUGGUACGCGAGCUGGGUUCAGAACGUCGUGAGACAGUUCGGUCCCUAUCCAUCGCGGGCGGAAGAAACUUGAAAGGGGCUGCUCCUAGUACGAGAGGACCGGAGUGGACCGACCAAUGGUGUACCAGUCAUGGCGCCAGCCGUGCAGCUGGGUAGCUACGUCGGGGACGGAUAAACGCUGAAAGCAUCUAAGCGUGAAACCAGCCUAAAGAUGAGGUUUCUCAUUGU